This 465-nucleotide ribosomal RNA is filed under the name Vreelandella stevensii. RNAcentral describes it as "partial 16S ribosomal RNA". It matches the Rfam family "Bacterial small subunit ribosomal RNA", at positions 338 to 795 of the family's 1533-position model. Lineage: Bacteria; Pseudomonadati; Pseudomonadota; Gammaproteobacteria; Oceanospirillales; Halomonadaceae. The record is from RNAcentral.
CCUACGGGAGGCAGCAGUGGGGAAUAUUGGACAAUGGGGGGAACCCUGAUCCAGCCAUGCCGCGUGUGUGAAGAAGGCCCUCGGGUUGUAAAGCACUUUCAGUGAGGAAGAACGCCUGGUGGUUAAUACCCAUCAGGAAAGACAUCACUCACAGAAGAAGCACCGGCUAACUCCGUGCCAGCAGCCGCGGUAAUACGGAGGGUGCGAGCGGUAAUCGGAAUUACUGGGCGUAAAGCGCGCGUAGGUGGCUUGAUAAGCCGGUUGUGAAAGCCCCGGGCUCAACCUGGGAACGGCAUCCGGAACUGUCAAGCUAGAGUGCAGGAGAGGAAGGUAGAAUUCCCGGUGUAGCGGUGAAAUGCGUAGAGAUCGGGAGGAAUACCAGUGGCGAAGGCGGCCUUCUGGACUGACACUGACACUGAGGUGCGAAAGCGUGGGUAGCAAACAGGAUUAGAUACCCUGGUAGUC